GGUACAUCGGAGCACCACCAGAUUCAGAAGGUGAAGGGGCAGGAGCAAACAUCAAGUCGGGGCCUAGUGAUGUAGGUGGGGCAACAAGUGGAGGAAAUUGUUGAGGUCCAGGGCAUCGAGGUUGAAGCGAUGUGGAUAAUGUAGUGAUGAUGGUUCCAUUAACAAGGCCACCGUAAUUGCAAGAAGUCACAUUGCAACCACCACCAGUCUGUUGUAUGGUAACAUUUCCG
This 230-nucleotide unclassified non-coding RNA is filed under the name Hevea brasiliensis (rubber tree). Lineage: Eukaryota; Viridiplantae; Streptophyta; Magnoliopsida; Malpighiales; Euphorbiaceae. The record is from RNAcentral.